Long non-coding RNA from Alligator mississippiensis (American alligator), 4707 nucleotides. RefSeq lists it as uncharacterized. The record is from RefSeq and is a predicted model, not a curated record. The transcript has 3 exons. Lineage: Eukaryota; Metazoa; Chordata; Crocodylia; Alligatoridae.
UUUCUAGCUACUUUACAGUCCAUUAAUCUAACCCAUAUUUCCUUAGCUUGUUUGCAGGAAUGUUCUGGGAGACUAUACCAAAAGCCUUGCUAGAAUCAAGGUAUAUCAUGCCCACUGCUCUUCCUAUAUCCACAGAGCCAGUCAUCUCAUCAUGCUAGGCAAUCUGGUUGGUUAGCCAUUACUUGCCUUUGGUGAACCCUGUCACAACCCAAAGGUGUGGUUUUUGUUUGUGUGUGUGCUUUGGCACCGAUAAAUUAUUUUCCCGCCGAUUGUAGCUUUCUUUGCACGGUAGAGUUCUCUGCUGCGAGAGAGAACUCUGGUGCAACGGGGAUUUCCCGCCAAAUUACAGCUUCUUUGCAGGGUGCAUUUCUUUUGCAUACUAGUGAUGCACGUUGCAAAGGAGUUCCCGCCAUUUGUAAUUGGAUUCGCACCACAUUAUUGGCCAAUUCCAAAUGUAGGCACACGUGGUGGCUAGCUAUUGGCUUGCUAGCUGUACAAAAGGCUUGGGUAGUUUCCGCCCAAGUCGGAGAGGGAGAGAAAGGAGGAGGGAGAGGGAGAACUCUGUGUGAAGAUCUCCAAGAGCUGCGGACCCAACGCGCCUCCCCUGAGCAGGCAAUAGAACCGAUCCUAUGGAGCUUUCGCUUCUAGCCUCUCCCCGUCACCUAUCGCAAUCCCAGACGUAUCCCUUUCCUGUGAACUUCGAACCCGCAGAGCCUCAACUCCGGGGAACCCUUCGAACCCAACCGAAUCGGACGCGCGGAGCCUAAACAACUCCGUGGGAGCAAUCGAAUUUGUCGUGGUCCUCUAGCGAGGAUCUAAGCGGGAGCUGUGCCUGGAAACCUGUCCAGCCUACACCACUACUAUCUUUGGGUGUAAGUAAACAAUCUUUUCAAUCAACCACUACGCGUUUGUGACUAACUCUAGCUCGUCGCCGGCUCUCUCCAACCCCGCGUGCCCGGGCUGCUGGCCACAGCCCGCGUGCGCGAAAGACGGGCCGCGGAUCGCCCCUCCCGACCUGCGUGUGGCGGUGGGAGCGGGGCCCGGCCCGCACAAACCCAUGCUGACUGUUCCUAAUCACCUACUUCUUCAAGGGUUUAGAAAUGAAUUCCUAGUGUACUUUCUCCAUGGUUUUUGCAGGGACUGAGGUGAGGCUGACAAGUCUGCAGUUCCCUGGAUCCUUCCUGUUCCUUUUCUUAAAGAUAGGUACUAGAUUUACCCUUUUCCAAUCAUCUGGGACUCUGCAAAUCACCAUGAGUUUUCAAAGACAAUGGCCAGUGGCUCUGCAAUCGCAUCAACCAACUCCCUUAGCACCCUUGGGUGCAUUGCAUUCAGCCCCAUGGAUUCAUACACAUCCAGCUUUUCUAAAUAGUCCCUAACCUGUUCUAUCACCACUGAAGGUUGCUCACCUCCUCCCCAAACUGUGCUGCCUGGUGCAGUAGUCUGAAAGCUGACCUUGCAUAUGAAGACUGGAUCUGGUCUGUGGGCCAGAUUUGGCACUCAGUGAUAACCCAGUGGGGGCCCAAUGCAGUCCUGUGGGAACAGCCUGGCUGGAGGCUGGCCCCCAUGCAGCUGCAUUGGGUCUCAGCUAUCCCAUUCCUACAUGGCUGCAUAGGGUCUAACCCAUUCCUGCAUGGCUGCAUUGGAUCCCAAUCAUGCACGGCUGGGCUAGGCCCCAUCCAGGCCAUUUCCAGCUGGCCUCAUUCGGCCUCAGUUGGGUCAUUCCUGCAUGGUGGCAUCUGUCCCUGGCUCAAUUCAGUUGCAGGGGAAUGGGACUCCAGCCAGGACUGAUUAAGCUGCUCAGGGCUUGGAAAAUUGGCAGACCUGCCAGCUGGAUUACAUGGCUUCAUUGGCUGUAUCUGGCCCACAGGCCAGGAGUUGAGCACCCCUGCAACAUUAUGUGGGGAGCUCACCACAACAUUAUGUGGGGAGCCAUUAGGGAUGAACCAAUAGUGGGAACCUUUGCAGCAGCAAAGAUCAGCAGUGGUUGAAAAGCCCUAAACAACUGUCAUGGAGCAGCAGCAAUUACUGUUUCAGGUCAGAGUCUGGAAGACCAAUAACAGACAUAAGCUGCCCAUAGGCUCUCAGAGGUACUAGUAUGUAACUUCCACCCCAGAACUUAGCAGAGUUCCUGGCAUAAAGCCCAGUUAUAGUAGCAACCCCAACCCUACUCCUUUCUGCAUGCAGGGAAGAAGAGGUGAUGGCCUGUAUUUUGUAACAUUUAGUAUACACAGCACUGUUAUUUUCCAUUUCUGUUUCCAGUGUAGGCAUAGAGGAGUGGUUAUUCUCUUUCUAGCCCAGGAUUGCUCCAUUUCUGGGGCCUAAUUUGUAAAGUGCUUGGACAGCCAAACCUCCCAUUAAAGUUGACUGAGGCUCCUGCUACUCAGCACCAGUGAAAACCAGGCCCUUGUUUAGUCUGAAUAAUGCUGUGAGAUUUACAGCAUUAUAUUUACCUCUACAGCUUCCUUUAUUCCAAGGAAGCCCUGCUCUUUGUGAGAUUGAAAUGGCACAUGGGUGACAAGAUGCUGGCACUAUGCGCCAAUUUGUCUGAGUGGCAAUCACUGCAACUCAAUGGGCUCAGAUUACAUUUUACCCUUCAUUAUCCUGUGCACAGUAGUUUAGUACUCAGUGACUACUCUACACUAACUAAUCUGAACCUGGCAAGCAGCAAACAUCAUGGUUAUCCGGGAACCAUCCAAGGAAUUAGGAUUUUUGUCUCUAAAACUAGGUGAUUCUACUUCUGAACAAAGGAAAAAUCUUCAUUAGCUGUCAGCAGUAAUAGGGCUUUUAUCUCUGCUUUAGACUUCAGCCAACUCUCUGUGAAGCAUCAUGCAGAAAGAACACUGUACUGGCUUACCAACUGGGUUGUCACUGUGGGAGGAACUGUUACUACAGUCUGAGAGAUGCGCAAUAUAAUUAUAUACAGAACCCUGAGAAAGAAGCAAUCUUUUAGUUCUUAGGAUAUAAUCUUGACUCUGCUUCUUCACAUGGAAGCUGUGUUUGCUAAAAUACAAAUGCUGUGGUCCAGUGGGAGAGCAUGGACACUUCAUUAGAAACAGAGAAUCCCAGUACCUUGAAAUCCAUGGGAUUGAAUUAGGACCCUGGUCUAGUUGGCAUCCUCUUGAUUUUGAAUGUUUUUAUUGUUCAGUAACUCCUCCAGUAAGUAGCAUCUCUUUCAGGUUGAGGGAGGCCUUAGUUGGGUUAUUCCUUACCCUGAGGUGGAAUCUCACACUGAUCUGUCAUUCACAGUCUCACACAAAAGUAGUGAUAUACGAGCAUUGGCCAAGAUUUUGGCAGGUGAGGUGGGAAAUGUUUUCCUAGUGUCAUGCACAGUCCAGAUUCUUUAAGACAGUUAGGGACAAAUCUACAAAGGUCUACAGGCAGGUCAUUUCCAUGGGAGUUAGAGACUUAAAUAUGCUUGUGAAUGUGGUCCUUGGUAAUUAUAAUAGCAGCACAAUGUGAUAAUCCCUGGUCUCCUGCACUUCUAACCUUGGACGCAGAAAAGACCUUUGACCAAGUGAACUCUGAAUACAUUCUAUUUAUCCUUAGAUUUGGGCCUAUUCUUAGAUUAUGAGAUAAAACCAUUCAGAUUUGAAACUUAACUCAGAUUCAGAUUCAGAGGUACCAGGAACACUCAUGCUCUUUCAUAUUUGUUUUGGUCCUAGAGGCUCUGGUGAUACCCGUACACUCACUCAAAUAUUUCGUUUAUCAAGAUUUGCCCAUUAGAGUACUGUUUGAUGCUGUACACCAGUGGUGCUCAACCUCUGGCCCACAGGCAGAAUCCAGCCUUCAGGGCCAAGUCAUCCAUCGCGUGGAGCUUCCCCAUGGGUCUGGAAAUUUACCAAUGGGGAAGCAGUAGCAAUAUUAAUUGCCAUGCCUUCUAGAGCCACAGCAAGUAACACUAACACUGCUCCUCUGUCACCAAAUUCCUACACCUAUGGGGAGGCUUGUGUUCUGAAUGAUGUGACGCCAUGGGCUAGAUCACUUCAGUGUACAGGACUGCUCUGUGGCUGGAUCUGGUGCACAGGGUUGGGCCACGGCUGGAUUCAAUGUGCUAGAUCCCUGUGGAUUGACUCCGUGCACUAAUCCCAUGCUGCAUCAGGCCUGAGAACAGACCCUGCCUGCAGGAUCCAGCCUCAUGCCACUUAUCUGGCCCACAUAUCCAGAAGUCUGAGCACCUGCUGUAUGCCAAUUAUGUCCUACUCCCCAAAUCUCAAAUCCCAUCUUCUAGUACUAACCCAAGAUCUUGAUUCAUUUGCAGGCUUUAUUCCAGUGGAACUUGCAUGAAGACUCAGAGUCAAUUAAAUAUCCAGGGAUGAAAAUGCAGAAAAUCUCCAAAAAAAAAUUUUGAUAAAAUGAAUUUAGAAUCUGUGCUCCUAUAGACACCAUAAGAUACCAAUCAGUGACGAGUACUUUCUUUGAACCUUGGUGGGAAAAUUAGCGCCGAACAAUGAUGAAGUGCUCUUACUCCCAAUUAUACAAAAAUGGCAGCAUCUGAGAACUCAUGAGUAACCCUGCAACAAUAAACUGACAGCCAUAUACAAUGAAGGAGAACAGCAAUCGGUUCUAAGCUUCCAGUGGGAUAUAACAAAAAACUUCAAGUAAAAAUAUUUUUUAAAACCUUUUGGACUCAGCUGGGGUCUCGAGCUUGUACUACUGGAGGAUCCAGAGCUGGUUGCCAACUGCCUCUUCAUACUGAGAUCUGUUGGA